GCAAGAUGCAAAAACGUUCUUGGAAUUCAAUGAGUACCAUUCCUAUUACUCUUUCUUUUCUCCUCUUCAUUUUUUAUUUUCAAAAAGUAUUUUCGGCUCCUAGUAGACACUUGUGUCGUCCAGAACAAAGGGAUGCACUUCUCGAGUUCAAAAACAAGUUUGAAAUUGGCAAUCCUUCUUCUUUUUGUAUUACUUCUCAUCCCAAAACGGAGUCAUGGGUGAAUAACAGCGACUGUUGUUAUUGGGACGGUAUCACAUGUGAUGCCAAAUCUAGAGAACUGGUCAGUCUAGACCUUUCUUGCAGCUGCCUCCAUGGCCGCAUUCACUCUAACAACAAACUUUUUAAUGUUCAAAACCUUCGCUUUCUAACCACUCUUGAUCUUUCAUGUAAUGAUUUAAGUGGUUGGAUUCCCUCUUCAUUUGGAAAUCUUUCUAGUCUUACAUAUCUCAGCCUCGCUCGUAACAACUUUGCUGGUGAAAUCCCAUCUUCACUUGGAAGUCUUUUGCAUCUCACCUCUCUCGACCUCUCUUUUAACAUUUUUAUUGGUGAAAUCCCAUUUUCAUUAGGAAAUCUUUCUCAUCUCACCUCUCUCGACCUCUCUAAUAAUAGUUUUGUUGGUGGAAUCCCAAUUUCACUUGGAACUCUUUCUCAUCUCACCUCUCUGAACCUUUAUGAUAACAAUUUUGUUGGUGAAAUCCCAAGGUCACUUGGAAAUCUUUCUCAUCUUACCGAUCUUGACCUCUCUUGUAACAAUUUUGUUGGUAAAAUCCCAUCGUCACUUGGAAGUCUUUCUCAUCUCGCUUUUUUGUACCUCUAUUAUAACAGUUUUGUUGGUGAAAUCCCAUCCUCACUAGGAGAUCUUUCCCAUAUCACCUCUCUCAGCCUCUCUUUUAACUAUUUUGUUGGUGAAAUCCCAUCAUCACUUGGAAAUCUUUCUCAUCUCAGAGAUCUCAGCCUUGCUCAUAACAACUUUGUUGGUGAAAUCCCGCCUUCUUUUGGUAGUUUGAGCAACUUAGCCCUGUUAGAUGUUAAGUCCAAUAAGCUUAGUGGUAGCUUUCCUCUUACACUACUAAAUCUGACAAAACUGUCAAUUUUAUCCCUCUCCAACAACCAGUUCGCAGGCAUGCUUCCUUCUUUUGUCACCAUUCCUUUGUUGGAUACUCUUAGUUUGGAAAAUAACCAACACAACGACACUCGAGAAUUUGGGAAUAUUUUUUCAUCACCUAAACUAGUAGAGUUAGACCUUUGCAAUAACAACUUCAUAGGGCCUGUUCCCAUAUCCAUUUUCAAAUCUGUGAACCUUGUGACGCUCGAUCUUGGUGAUAAUCACCUCAGCGGAGAACUGCCAGAGAUAUUUUUCAAUGGCAGUAAUCUAAGGUCACUCAAUGUUGGUCACAACCAACUGGUGGGAAAACUUCCGAGAUCUUUGGCUAGUUGUUCUUCUUUGGAGGUUCUAAACGUGGAACACAACAGAAUCAAUGACACUUUUCCAUUUUGGUUGGAAUCCUUACAAAAGCUACAAGUACUGGUUCUCCACUCUAAUGAGUUUCAUGGGUCGUUACAAUACAAUCCCAAGGUUGCUUCUUGGUUUCCUCAAUUGCGAAUCAUUGAUAUAUCAUAUAAUUCCUUCAAUGGAACCCUACCAUCUGAUUUCUUCAUAUAUUGGAGAGCAAUUUCCUCGGAGGAAAACCGUUCAGAAUUGAAAUACAUUGGAGAACAAUCGUAUUACAAAGACUCAUUGGUUUUAAUGAAUAAAGGAGUAGAGAUGAAAUACACGAGGAUCCUUUCACUCUUAACAGCCAUUGAUAUUUCUGGUAAUAGACUCCAAGGACCAAUCCCUAAAUCCAUUGGUCUAGUGAAGAAUCUUAUUGUGCUCAAUCUGUCAAGAAAUGGUUUCAUUGGCAACAUCCCUUCAUCUUUGACGAAUCUGAAGGAGCUCGAGUCACUAGACUUAUCGCAUAACAAGCUUUCAGGCAAAAUUCCACCUGCUCUCGGGGCCCUCACAAGUUUGUCUAAAGUUAUAUUUUCCCACAACCAGCUCGUCGGUCCAAUACCGCAUGGCACACAGUUUCAGACACAAGAUGCUUCGUCAUUUGAAGGUAACCUUGGACUUUGCGGUCGUCCUCUCAGUAUAAGUUGUGGAGACAUACAUACAGAGCAAACACAAGAGCCAGAAUCAGAUGAAGAAGAAGGAGUAUUCAGCUGGACUGCAGCUAGCAUAGCCUUUGCACCUGGUGUCAUCAUCGGAUUGAUUAUUGGGCACAUUAUGGUUACGAAAAAGCCUCAGUGGUUCAUCAAGAUUUCUGGCGUGACGAGGUAUGUUAAAUAUUCAAUCAACAAUUCCUUUUGUGCAAAUUAAUAAUGUACCAUUGAAACUGAUUCACCCUUUCCCCUUUGAUUUACAGUUUAACAAUUCGGUUUUUUACAAAACGGUGACAUCUUGCGAUCUCUGAAAUUGUCUCUCUCUCGAUUUGGUUCAAGGUUGCCUGAUUUGAUGUUUUGGUACUGAGAGUCACUUUUACCAAUUGGUUCAAGGUCUCUAUACCUUGUGCUUGAUGCGAAUGUGCCCGUGUGUGGUAGAAAUCAAAACUGGAAGAUUCUGCACGAGGCACAUUGCGGCAAGUGGUUGAGGUCACUCCUCUUUCUGAUGAGGUUUACUGAUUGUAAUCGGAUGCUGCUUGAUCAGCUAAUUAUUAACAUUGUUGUUCAGGUUGGGUUUUUAAAAUCUUGUCAGAUUUCAUGUUAUUGGCAGAUCUUGCACGAGGCCUUUUGUGGCUAGUGGUUGCGAUUACUCCUCCUUGUAAUGAGGCUUAGUGAUUGUAAUCGGAUAUUGCUUGAUCAGCUAAUUGUUUUCAUUGUGGUUUAGGUUGGGUUUUUAAAAUUCUACCAGAUCCCAUGUUGUUCCAAGGAUCUUCCUCGAAUACCUUAGUCUCAUCCGUCUUAAUGACAUAACUUCUUUCUCUAUUCUCAGCGCUGUGUUUUUCAAAAGUGUCGGAUAUUAAUCACUUAAUAUAUUUCUCGAAUUGCUUGGAACUUAUAUUUAUUCUCAAAUAUGGUGGCUAAGCUUUGGAGAAUUACGGUAUCUUUCUCGAUAUUAAUGCGAAUUGUAAUGGUUUUGUCUAUAUCUCCUUUCAUCAUAAUCCUUUUUAGCUAAUAGUUUAACAGAUAGUUUAGCCAAAUUGGCUCUUUUACGUUGUAAUAACUCAU
RNA transcript from Eutrema salsugineum, 3208 nucleotides. It is a transcript of the gene named receptor-like protein 12, with no coding region annotated. Lineage: Eukaryota; Viridiplantae; Streptophyta; Magnoliopsida; Brassicales; Brassicaceae. The transcript has 2 exons. The record is from RefSeq and is a predicted model, not a curated record.